UAUAAUGUCUUAUAAAACCUGCGUGAUCCAACUACAAAGUAUUCGUUUCUUGGGUUCUAAAAUUAAUAAAUGCUAAAUAAAGAUAAUUGUUGGCCAAGCUGCCAACAUCACGUGUUCGUGAUCAUGGGUAUAGAUAGGGCACAGACAAAUCAGGCAGACCAGAUAUGUCUAAUUAGAAUUACUGUUCGUCAAAACUAAAUUUACAUAUUAACCUGUCUCUCAAAAAAUAAAAGAUAACUGCAGUUUGGUUUGUCGUCAUGUUAUUUGUAGUUUGCUUAUAGAACCACAUAUACACUCAGGAU
RNAcentral lists this long non-coding RNA (302 nucleotides) under Phaseolus vulgaris (common bean). Its description in RNAcentral is "long non-coding RNA (PVUL_LNC001199)". Lineage: Eukaryota; Viridiplantae; Streptophyta; Magnoliopsida; Fabales; Fabaceae. The record is from RNAcentral.